Molecule: long non-coding RNA, 515 nt
Organism: Suricata suricatta (meerkat)
Lineage: Eukaryota; Metazoa; Chordata; Mammalia; Carnivora; Herpestidae
Exons: 3
Source: RefSeq, a predicted model, not a curated record
CUGGACCGGACUCGGGUGGUACUGGAGGAUUUCAGGGAAGGACACCACCACUAAAGAAAGCCUCCUCCUCAAUCCAGGGAAAGUUCCCUUGGCAACCACCCCAGGACCCUGCUCUCCGAGAAUCUUCUCUCCGACUUCACCGAGCCAGUCACGUCCACUGGGAGGAAACCCCUGCAGCCGUCUUCAUCCUUCAGCAGUAUGAGCCCGUCUAAUCCCAAGGCUUCCAAAAUGCUUCCCUUUGGUGGCUGAAGUCACAGAGCCACCUACCAGUGAGCCAGGACUACAUCCGGGCUUCUGCCCCAUCUUCAAGUUUUCUUCCAUCUCCCAUGCCUUUCCCUUCCUAAGCAAAAUGCAUUAGCAGAAAAAGUGAGACUGCAUUUCAUCUGUAGCAUGGAGGCUCAACAUUUUAGGGCUGAUAGCCACAUGUAUGUCCCUCACUGACUGUGUCACCAUGCUAUCUGCAGAGACACCGCGUUUCUGGGUUCCAGCAUCCCCCUGUGUCGUGGAAUCCCCGU